UGUCCCCUGCGGAGUGCGUGAUAGACAGUAAUUUUUUGAGCCAACACUCAAAAUAAGGGAACCGAAAGCGGUUGUGGUGUGCAUGCCCACCAUGAAGUGGGAAGCCUAAAGCAGCAGCAAGGAGCCCACCUGGGAAACCAGGUUCAAAAGAUCUGUCCACACGGCUCAACGCGGGGGACCC
Molecule: non-coding RNA, 181 nt
Filed under: Desulfomonile tiedjei
Lineage: Bacteria; Pseudomonadati; Thermodesulfobacteriota; Desulfomonilia; Desulfomonilales; Desulfomonilaceae
Description: 6S RNA
Rfam family: 6S / SsrS RNA
About the family: E. coli 6S RNA was the first non coding RNA to be sequenced, but its function was unknown until recently. It consists of 184 nucleotides that fold into an extended hairpin structure with a large single-stranded internal bulge.
Source: RNAcentral